Molecule: ribosomal RNA, 279 nt
Filed under: uncultured bacterium
Lineage: Bacteria
Description: partial 16S ribosomal RNA
Rfam family: Bacterial small subunit ribosomal RNA
Source: RNAcentral
UGCCAGCAGCCGCGGUAAUACGAAGGGACCUAGCGUAGUUCGGAAUUACUGGGCGUAAAGCGCGCGUAGGCGGAUUGAUUAGUUGGGGGUGAAAUCCCGGAGCUCAACUCCGGAACUGCCUCCAAUACUGUCAGUCUUGAGGUCGAGAGAGGUAAGUGGAAUUCCGAGUGUAGAGGUGAAAUUCGUAGAUAUUCGGAAGAACACCAGUGGCGAAGGCGACUUACUGGCUCGAUUCUGACGCUGAGGUGCGAAAGCGUGGGGAGCAAACAGGAUUAGAUA